GAAUACUAACUGGAAUCACAUUUGUGUCAUUUGUGAUAACGUAAGGGAAAAUCAUGAUAUAACUUUACUAUUAGUGUUGAAAAGCUGGUGCCAGAAGACUCGGUAAGGCCAGAGACGCGAGCGUAAAUCAUCUUAAAAAGGCGUAAAGGGUACGUAGCAGCUUUAAUAUUAUUUAUUUAUUUAUUGAAAGAUUUAUUUAAAUAUUAUUGAUCGAAGAUAGAAUCAUAUAGAGGUCACAGACCAGAUAAUUCUAGGAGCAUAUUCAGGGAUGAAAUCUUUAGAUUCCUAGAAGAAUAAUAGUUAGCGAAUGCUCUUUUCCAACUUAUGAUUGACGCUGAGGUACGAAGGGGGGGGUAGACAAUAGGAUUGGAGACCCUGGCAUUCCUCUCUGUAAACGAUGAAUGGUAGUCGCUAGUUUGAGAAUUAGUGGCGAUGCUAACGCGUUAACCAUUCCGCCUUGUGAGUACGGCCGCAAGGUUGAAAACAAAAAAAUUAGUCGGUUUCGGAGCAAACG
RNAcentral lists this ribosomal RNA (514 nucleotides) under Sphaerobolus stellatus. Its description in RNAcentral is "mitochondrial SSU rRNA". It matches the Rfam family "Bacterial small subunit ribosomal RNA", at positions 410 to 931 of the family's 1533-position model. The record is from RNAcentral. Lineage: Eukaryota; Fungi; Basidiomycota; Agaricomycetes; Geastrales; Sphaerobolaceae.